UCUUUCGAGCGUCUUUAAAUGAGCUUGAAAUUUUCUCAAUCGAUAGCCUUUAUGGCUUAUCUCGAUCGAAAAUUUCAUUGCAACAUUUAAAUCCAUCUCGAAAUACUUCGCUUAAUCCGUUUUUUUAGAUUUGAUUAUUGGAUUAAAUUUUAAAAUUUUAAAGACAGAUUAAACGUAAAAUAUGACAAGUUUAAAAAGAGUAUGAAUACUCAUAGACACUGU
RNAcentral lists this ribosomal RNA (222 nucleotides) under Campylobacter curvus. RNAcentral describes it as "partial 23S ribosomal RNA". The record is from RNAcentral. Lineage: Bacteria; Pseudomonadati; Campylobacterota; Epsilonproteobacteria; Campylobacterales; Campylobacteraceae.